This is a long non-coding RNA of Serinus canaria (Common canary), 413 nucleotides long. RefSeq lists it as uncharacterized. The record is from RefSeq and is a predicted model, not a curated record. The transcript is spliced from 3 exons. NCBI's taxonomy places the organism in Eukaryota, Metazoa, Chordata, Aves, Passeriformes, Fringillidae.
CCUCCGUCCGCCGCGCGCAGGACCGGGCUGCAGCCGGGCCGCGCUCUUUGGUUCCGGGGGCCGCCUCGCCCGGGCUGCAGCUCAGUUUUUGGGGUGGAUUCCAGCAGAUCGGGAGCGCUCACGUUCUCCAGUGAACGAGGAAUAUUGCAGCAAAAGAGGCUCCUGUAUAACCAAGCCAUGCAAGAAAUGGGGAAGGGACAGAGCAGGUCUGACUGUCAGAAGUGAAGAAUUUUUUUGUUGGACACAGUGGAUGCCUGGAAGCUGAGAGGCAAGGAGAGAGAGGGAAACGUUCAAGGUGACUUCGGCGUUGUCGUAGUGAGAGCUCAGGUCCAGGUCCUCGUGCAGGGAGUACUUGACCACGAAGGCUUUGUGGCUGUCCAGGCAGGCUCCGCCCAGCUCCGGGUACAGCAGCG